This 485-nucleotide ribosomal RNA is filed under the name uncultured bacterium. RNAcentral's name for it is "partial 16S ribosomal RNA". It matches the Rfam family "Bacterial small subunit ribosomal RNA", at positions 30 to 507 of the family's 1533-position model. The record is from RNAcentral.
UUGAACGCUGGCGGCAUGCCUUACCCCUGCCAGUCGAACGGCAGCACGGGUGCUUGCACCUGGUGGCGAGUGGCGAACGGGUGAGUAAUACAUCGGAACAUGUCCUGUAGUGGGGGAUAGCCCGGCGAAAGCCGGAUUAAUACCGCAUACGAUCUACGGAUGAAAGCGGGGGACCUUCGGGCCUCGCGCUAUAGGGUUGGCCGAUGGCUGAUUAGCUAGUUGGUGGGGUAAAGGCCUACCAAGGCGACGAUCAGUAGCUGGUCUGAGAGGACGACCAGCCACACUGGGACUGAGACACGGCCCAGACUCCUACGGGAGGCAGCAGUGGGGAAUUUUGGACAAAGGGCGAAAGCCUGAUCCAGCAAUGCCGCGUGUGUGAAGAAGGCCUUCGGGUUGUAAAGCACUUUUGUCCGGAAAGAAAUCCUUGGCCCUAAUACGGUCGGGGGAUGACGGUACCGGAAGAAUAAGCACCGGCUAACUACGUG